GAUGAACGCUGGCGGCGUGCCUAAUACAUGCAAGUCGAGCGAACGGACGAGAAGCUUGCUUUUCUGAUGUUAGCGGCGGACGGGUGAGUAACACGUGGUUAACCUACCUAUAAGACUGGGAUAACUUCGGGAAACCGGAGCUAAUACCGGAUAAUAUUUUGAACCGCAUGGUUCAAAAGUGAAAGACGGUCUUGCUGUCACUUAUAGAUGGAUCCGCGCUGCAUUAGCUAGUUGGUAAGGUAACGGCUUACCAAGGCAACGAUGCAUAGCCGACCUGAGAGGGUGAUCGGCCACACUGGAACUGAGACACGGUCCAGACUCCUACGGGAGGCAGCAGUAGGGAAUCUUCCGCAAGGGGCGAAAGCCUGACGGAGCAACGCCGCGUGAGUGAUGAAGGUCUUCGGAUCGUAAAACUCUGUUAUUAGGGAAGAACAUAUGUGUAAGUAACUGUGCACAUCUUGACGGUACCUAAUCAGAAAGCCACGGCUAACUACGUG
This 497-nucleotide ribosomal RNA is filed under the name uncultured bacterium. RNAcentral describes it as "partial 16S ribosomal RNA". It matches the Rfam family "Bacterial small subunit ribosomal RNA", at positions 28 to 507 of the family's 1533-position model. The record is from RNAcentral.